Molecule: unclassified non-coding RNA, 225 nt
Filed under: plant metagenome
Description: partial contains small subunit ribosomal RNA, internal transcribed spacer 1, and 5.8S ribosomal RNA
Source: RNAcentral
UUUCCGUAGGUGAACCUGCGGAAGGAUCAUUAUUGAAAUAAACCUGAUGGGUUGUUGCUGGUUCUCUAGAGAGCAUUGUGCACGCCUUGUCAUCUUUAUAUCUCCACCUGUGCACUUUUUGUAGACCUUUCAGGUCUAUGUUGCUUCAUUUACCCCAAUGUAUGUUAAUAGAAUGUUGUGCCUAUAUAAUAUAUACAACUUUCAGCAACGGAUCUCUUGGCUCUC